UACAGAGGUCUCAAGCGUUGUUCGGAUUCAUUGGGCGUAAAGGGUGCGUAGGCGGUUUGUCGCGUCGGGAGUGAAAUCCACUGGCUUAACUGGUGGCUUGCUUUCGAUACGGGCAGACUGGAGGUAUGCAGGGGAGAACGGAAUUCCUGGUGUAGCGGUGAAAUGCGCAGAUAUCAGGAGGUACACCGGUGGCGAAGGCGGUUCUCUGGGCAUGUCCUGACGCUGAGGAGCGAAAGUGUGGGGAGCGAACAGG
Molecule: ribosomal RNA, 253 nt
Filed under: uncultured bacterium
Lineage: Bacteria
Description: partial 16S ribosomal RNA
Rfam family: Bacterial small subunit ribosomal RNA
Source: RNAcentral